RNAcentral lists this ribosomal RNA (753 nucleotides) under uncultured marine microorganism. RNAcentral's name for it is "bacterial SSU rRNA". It matches the Rfam family "Bacterial small subunit ribosomal RNA", at positions 8 to 758 of the family's 1533-position model. The record is from RNAcentral.
AGAGUUUGAUCAUGGCUCAGAUUGAACGCUGGCGGCAGGCCUAACACAUGCAAGUCGAGCGGUAACAUUUCUAGCUUGCUAGAAGAUGACGAGCGGCGGACGGGUGAGUAAUGCUUGGGAAUAUGCCUUAGGGUGGGGGACAACAGUUGGAAACGACUGCUAAUACCGCAUAACGUCUACGGACCAAAGGGGGCUUCGGCUCUCGCCCUUAGAUUAGCCCAAGUGGGAUUAGCUAGUUGGUGAGGUAAUGGCUCACCAAGGCGACGAUCCUUAGCUGGUUUGAGAGGAUGAUCAGCCACACUGGAACUGAGACACGGUCCAGACUCCUACGGGAGGCAGCAGUGGGGAAUAUUGCACAAUGGGUGCAAGCCUGAUGCAGCCAUGCCGCGUGUGUGAAGAAGGCCUUAGGGUUGUAAAGCACUUUCAGUAAGGAGGAAAGGUUAGUAGUUAAUACCUGCUAGCUGUGACGUUACUUACAGAAGAAGCACCGGCUAACUCCGUGCCAGCAGCCGCGGUAAUACGGAGGGUGCGAGCGUUAAUCGGAAUUACUGGGCGUAAAGCGUACGCAGGCGGUUUGUUAAGCGAGAUGUGAAAGCCCCGGGCUCAACCUGGGAACUGCAUUUCGAACUGGCAAACUAGAGUAUGAUAGAGGGUGGUAGAAUUUCAGGUGUAGCGGUGAAAUGCGUAGAGAUCUGAAGGAAUACCGAUGGCGAAGGCAGCCACCUGGGUCAAUACUGACGCUCAUGUACGAAA